This 482-nucleotide ribosomal RNA is filed under the name uncultured Acidobacteriota bacterium. RNAcentral describes it as "bacterial SSU rRNA". It matches the Rfam family "Bacterial small subunit ribosomal RNA", at positions 8 to 522 of the family's 1533-position model. The record is from RNAcentral. Lineage: Bacteria; Pseudomonadati; Acidobacteriota.
AGAGUUUGAUCAUGGCUCAGAAUCAACGCUGGCGGCGCGCUUAACACAUGCAAGUCGAACGAGAAAGGGGAGCAAUCCCUGAGUAAAGUGGCGUACGGGUGAGUAACACGUGGGUAAUCUACCUCUGGGUGGGGAAUAACGCUGGGAAACCGGCGCUAAUACCGCAUAACACUGAAAGGUCAAAGGCGCAAGUCGCCUGGAGAGGAGCCCGCGGCUGAUUAGCUAGUUGGUGAGGUAAAGGCUCACCAAGGCUUUGAUCGGUAGCCGGCCUGAGAGGGCACACGGCCACACUGGCACUGAAACACGGGCCAGACUCCUACGGGAGGCAGCAGUGGGGAAUCUUGCACAAUGGGGGCAACCCUGAUGCAGCGACGCCGCGUGAGCGAUGAAGCCCUUCGGGGUGUAAAGCUCUUUCGGCAGGGACGAUAAUGACGGUACCUGAAGAAGAAGCUGCGGCUAACUACGUGCCAGCAGCCGCGGUA